This 66-nucleotide transfer RNA is filed under the name Torleya nepalica. RNAcentral's name for it is "tRNA-Ile". The record is from RNAcentral. Lineage: Eukaryota; Metazoa; Arthropoda; Insecta; Ephemeroptera; Ephemerellidae.
GUCGUUUAAGUCGAAGAGGAGACGUCAGGAUGAUACCCUGGAGGUGGAAUAAAUUUCCAAGCGAUA